CUACGGGGGGCUGCAGUGGGGAAUAUUGGACAAUUGGGGAAACCCUGAUCCAGCAAUGCCGCGUGUGUGAAGAAGGCCUGCGGGUUGUAAAGCACUUUCGGUUGGGAGGACUGCUUCUAGCACUAAUAUUGUUGGAAGUUGACGUUACCUUCAGAAGAAGCACCGGCUAACUCCGUGCCAGCAGCCGCGGUAAUACGGAGGGUGCAAGCGUUAAUCGGAAUUACUGGGCGUAAAGCGCGCGUAGGCGGCUAGAUCAGUCGGGUGUGAAAGCCCCGGGCUUAACCUGGGAACUGCAUCCGACACUUGCUGGCGUGCAUACUGGAGAGGGGAGUCGAAUUACAGAGGGAGCGGUGGAAGGCGUAGCGAUGUGGGGGAACAGCGAAGGCACAGAGGGCACACUAACCUGGUACUGACGCUGGGGUGCGACAGCGUGGAGCACAAACAGGAUUAGCGACCCGCGUGGUC
Molecule: ribosomal RNA, 465 nt
Filed under: uncultured bacterium
Lineage: Bacteria
Description: partial 16S ribosomal RNA
Rfam family: Bacterial small subunit ribosomal RNA
Source: RNAcentral